AACAGCGUGGCUCAGUGGAAAGAGCCUGGGCUUUGGAAUCAGAGGUCAUGGGUUCGACUCCCAGCUCUGCCA
Ornithorhynchus anatinus (platypus) is the source of this 72-nucleotide non-coding RNA. The record is from Rfam. NCBI's taxonomy places the organism in Eukaryota, Metazoa, Chordata, Mammalia, Monotremata, Ornithorhynchidae.